This 972-nucleotide ribosomal RNA is filed under the name Cinachyrella kuekenthali. RNAcentral describes it as "SSU rRNA". It matches the Rfam family "Eukaryotic small subunit ribosomal RNA", at positions 31 to 1001 of the family's 1831-position model. Lineage: Eukaryota; Metazoa; Porifera; Demospongiae; Tetractinellida; Tetillidae. The record is from RNAcentral.
CUGUCUCAAGACUAAGCCAUGCAUGUCCAAGUAUGAACGCUUCGUACUGUGAAACUGCGAAUGGCUCAUUAAAUCAGUUAUAGUUUAUUUGAUGGUUGCUUGCUACAUGGAUAACCGUGGUAAUUCUAGAGCUAAUACAUGCACAGAGUCCCGACUUCCGGGAGGGACGUAUUUAUUAGAUCCAAAACCAGCGCGGGUCUCCCUUCGGGGUGCCCGGUCCCUGGGCGAUUCAUGAUAACUGCUCGAAUCGCACGGCCCUGGCGCCGGCGAUGGUCCAUUCAAAUUUCUGCCCUAUCAACUUUCGAUGGUACGGUAGUGGCCUACCAUGGUUGCAACGGGUGACGGAGAAUUAGGGUUCGAUUCCGGAGAGGGAGCCUGAGAAACGGCUACCACAUCCAAGGAAGGCAGCAGGCGCGCAAAUUACCCAAUCCCGACUCGGGGAGGUAGUGACAAUAAAUAACAAUGCCGGGCUCUCGUAGUCUGGCAAUUGGAAUGAGUCCAAUCUAAACCCCUUAACGAGGAACAAUUGGAGGGCAAGUCUGGUGCCAGCAGCCGCGGUAAUUCCAGCUCCAAUAGCGUAUAUUAAAGUUGUUGCAGUUAAAAAGCUCGUAGUUGGAUUUCGGGGCGGCCCGGCCGGUCCGCCGCGAGGCGAGCACUGGUCGGGCGCCCUUCCUCUCGAAGGCUUCGACUGCUCUUGAUUGCGGUGGUCGAGGAGUUCGGGACGUUUACUUUGAAAAAAUUAGAGUGUUCAAGGCAGGCCGUCGCCUGAAUACAUUAGCAUGGAAUAAUGGAAGAGGACCUCGGUCCUAUUUUGUUGGUUUCCAGGGCCGAAGUAAUGAUUAAGAGGGACAGUUGGGGGCAUUCGUAUUCAAUUGUCAGAGGUGAAAUUCUCGGAUUUAUGGAAGACGAACAAGUGCGAAAGCAUUUGCCAAGGAUGUUUUCAUUAAUCAAGAACGAAAGUUGGGGGUUCGA